AUUAGACUACCCUGUAGUCCUAGCCGUAAACGAUACUCGCUAGGUGUCGGCCACGGUGCGACCGUUGUCGGUGCCGUAGGGAAGCCGUGAAGCGAGCCACCUGGGAAGUACGGCCGCAAGGCUGAAACUUAAAGGAAUUGGCGGGGGAGCACAACAACGGGUGGAGCUUGCGGUUUAAUUGGACUCAACGCCGGGAAGCUCACCGGAUAAGACAGCGGAAUGAUUGCCGGGCUGAAGACCCUGCAUGACCAGCUG
Molecule: ribosomal RNA, 255 nt
Filed under: uncultured archaeon
Lineage: Archaea
Description: partial 16S ribosomal RNA
Rfam family: Archaeal small subunit ribosomal RNA
Source: RNAcentral